Molecule: ribosomal RNA, 568 nt
Filed under: uncultured eukaryote
Lineage: Eukaryota
Description: SSU rRNA
Rfam family: Eukaryotic small subunit ribosomal RNA
Source: RNAcentral
CGGGACCUUUGCUCGAAUACGUUAGCAUGGAAUAAUAGAAUAGGUACGUAGCGGUCCUAUUUUGUUGGUUUCUAGGUACCGCCGUAAUGAUUAAUAGGGACAGUCGGGGGCAGUCAGUAUUCAAUUGUCAGAGGUGAAAUUCUUGGAUUUAUUGAAGACUAACUACUGCGAAAGCAUUUGCCAAGGAUGUUUUCAUUAAUCAGUGAACGAAAGUUAGGGGAUCGAAGACGAUCAGAUACCGUCGUAGUCUUAACCGUAAACUAUGCCGACUAGGGAUCGGGCGAUGUUCUUUUUCUGACUCGCUCGGCACCUUACGAGAAAUCAAAGUUUUUGGGUUCUGGGGGGGAGUAUGGUCGCAAGGCUGAAACUUAAAGAAAUUGACGGAAGGGCACCACCAGGCGUGGAGCCUGCGGCUUAAUUUGACCCAACACGGGGAAACUCACCAGGUCCAGAUGAAAUAAGGAUUGACAGAUUGAGAGCUCUUUCUUGAUUUUUCAGGUGGUGGUGCAUGGCCGUUCUUAGUUGGUGGAGUGAUUUGUCUGCUUAAUUGCGAUAACGAACGAGACCU